AAACUGGAUGUGAGGCAAUCCUGUAGAUUGCAAAUACUUGGGAAAAAGAAGUAGCAAAGGCCAUAGACUUUUGGGAACAGAAAUCACGUAAUUGUUAGUUUUGACCUUGUAUAUUAAGUUGUGAAGGUGAAGGCAAGAGCUAGGCUUCUGAAUUUAAAUAGACACAAUUUCCCCAGAAUGAGGGAAUUGAUGGGCAUAUAUAAUUGGAUGAUGCUACUGCAGGGUCACAGUGGAGGCGGGGAGGUCAGCUUGAAGACUGCAAGGAUCCUGGGAAAAUGAUUGUACAUUCACAUCAUGCCAUCAUCUAAGUACAUGGAAAAUGCUUUUAUAGGAUGCUGAAGAUUUGCCACCAAACUACAAGGGCUUUACACCACAUCUCCAACAAUCUCUGUCACUAACAAGUGAGGAAAGAGUCCCCCUUGAGGUCACCUGCAAUUUCAAGAGUGGAAACAUCAAGAAAUCUGGUCAUGACCAGGCAGUUGUGGCAGUGACAACUUCUCCAUGGUUUAUUUCUGUUUCACAGUAUUUGGUAUCACAGUCUACUUAGAAAUAAGCGAAGUUUGAUAAAAAUGUGGCAUUUGCACCCAGUUUCUGGGGAAGACGUGGGACAUGAGAUACACAUUUGGAAAAAUCUCAAGAUUGCAGGUGAACAAUUACACACAGGGAGAUGUUGGAGGGAUCUCAAGGCAGAGAAAUUGCAGCUGUGUGGGAAAUUGUAUAUAUCUGGAUGCAUUCACUGUGGAAUUGACUGCAAAGGGCCAAAUUCUGUGUUGGAAAGAGCUCCUUCUGUUUUUCUUGGCCUAACCCACUAUGCACAGAUGUCACCUCCCUGCUUUUGACCAGACCACAGAAGUCAGGAAAGCAAUUUCUUCCCCAUCCUUACUGGCAUCCUGAGGAGGCAGGUUCCUUAGGACUCUGAUGUGAGACAGAAAUGGAAACAGGAUUUUGCUGGAGUGGGAUGCUUCGUGUUUGAGGAAGUCAAAGUUAAUCUGUGCUUGAAGAAUCAGGAAAAUUUAUAUUUUGCAUGGGCAGUGCCAACGCAGCUCCCUGUUCUGGUGGAGGGCACAAAAGAGACUUUGGUGCCUAAGUAAUUUAUGAUUAGUUGAAAACUGUUGUGUUUCAUUGCUCACACGUGUUCUACUCAAGAAGAGACUGUAAAAUUGAUCUGAGGCCCAAACUAAGAGUGAAUCUUUGUCUCUCUCAAAGAGCAAAGCUCUCUUUCAAAAAUGUAACGCUGUGUGUGACGCAGGAGUUGCCAUGGAAAAAUACAUUGAGCCAAUCAUUCAUGAUUUAUUUAUAGCAAUUAGAAUGCUCAUCCCAAGAUCCAAUAGUAGCUUUGAUUUAAAAAAAAAAAAUAAAAAAAUCAUCCAGACAAAAGAUCGAAGCACGUAAAUUGUUGGGAACACUUGUGAGUCUGUAUGGUUAAUAUAUUAUUUAAAAAAUUGACUAUGUAUGUUCCUGGACAGGGCUUUGAAGUGUAAGUGCUGCUGAUAUUUGCUUCUAUAUUUCUGCUGCUAAUAAUGUUAUUGCUGUUGUCCUAUACUUACCAUCUGUUCAGUGCCUAUUUAAUGGGUAUAGUAAAUAGCAGUUCAAAGUGAGAUUUUUCUUCUAAUCAUCUCUUUUGGAAAACAUUUGUGUAAAAUUGAAUGCUUUGGAGAAAUCUGUACACCUGUAUCUUGCUGGAAACAUGGUGCUCAAGAUCCUUACAACUGGAUAGACUUGUCUGUGGUGCAUUGAAUACUACAGGCAGUGAAUGCCUCUCUUCUGAUUGUUUUAAAUUGCAUUUAGUAAGAA
Molecule: non-coding RNA, 1794 nt
Organism: Cyanistes caeruleus (blue tit)
Lineage: Eukaryota; Metazoa; Chordata; Aves; Passeriformes; Paridae
Source: RefSeq, a predicted model, not a curated record